This 120-nucleotide ribosomal RNA is filed under the name uncultured bacterium. RNAcentral's name for it is "partial 16S ribosomal RNA". It matches the Rfam family "Bacterial small subunit ribosomal RNA", at positions 796 to 916 of the family's 1533-position model. The record is from RNAcentral.
CACGCCGUAAACGAUGAGUACUAGGUGUCGGGGGUUACCCCCCUCGGUGCCGCAGCUAACGCAUUAAGUACUCCGCCUGGGGAGUACGCUCGCAAGAGUGAAACUCAAAGGAAUUGACGG